Molecule: non-coding RNA, 1106 nt
Filed under: Drosophila sechellia
Lineage: Eukaryota; Metazoa; Arthropoda; Insecta; Diptera; Drosophilidae
Description: Eukaryotic large subunit ribosomal RNA
Rfam family: Eukaryotic large subunit ribosomal RNA
Source: Rfam by way of RNAcentral
GUGUAUGGAGCGUCAAUAUUCUAGUAUGAGAAAUUAAUGAUUUAAGUCCUUCUUAAAUGAGGCCAUUUACCCAUAGAGGGUGCCAGGCCCGUAUAACGUUAAUGAUUGCUAGAUGAUGUUUCCAAAGAGUCGUGUUGCUUGAUAGUGCAGCACUAAGUGGGUGGUAAACUCCAUCUAAAACUAAAUAUAACCAUGAGACCGAUAGUAAACAAGUACCGUGAGGGAAAGUUGAAAAGAACUCUGAAUAGAGAGUUAAACAGUACGUGAAACUGCUUAGAGGUUAAGCCCGAUGAACCUGAAUAUCCGUUAUGGAAAAUUCAUCAUUAAAAUUGUAAUAUUUAAAUAAUAUUAUUAAGAAUAAUGUGCAUUUUUUCCAUAUAAGGACAUUGUAAUCUAUUAGCAUAUCCCAAAUUUAUCAUAAAAUAUAACUUAUAGUUUAUUCCAAUUAAAUUGCUUGCAUUUUAACACAGAAUAAAUGUUAUUAAUUUGAUAAAGUGCUGAUAGAUUUAUAUUAUUACAGAGCGUUAAUUUUUCGGAAUUAUAUAAUGGCAUAAUUAUCAUUGAUUUUUGUGUUUAUUAUAUGCUCUUGUAUGAUUAACAAUGCGAAAGAUUCAGGAUACCUUCGGGACCCGUCUUGAAACACGGACCAAGGAGUCUAACAUAUGUGCAAGUUAUUGGGAUGUAAACCUAAUAGCGUAAUUAACUUGACUAAUAAUGGGAUUAGUUUUUUAGCUAUUUAUAGCUAAUUAACACAAUCCCGGGGCGUUCUAUAUAGUUAUGUAUAAUGUAUAUUUAUAUUAUUUAUGCCUCUAACUGGAACGUACCUUGAGCAUAUAUGCUGUGACCCGAAAGAUGGUGAACUAUACUUGAUCAGGUUGAAGUCAGGGGAAACCCUGAUGGAAGACCGAAACAGUUCUGACGUGCAAAUCGAUUGUCAGAAUUGAGUAUAGGGGCGAAAGACCAAUCGAACCAUCUAGUAGCUGGUUCCUUCCGAAGUUUCCCUCAGGAUAGCUGGUGCAUUUUAUAUUAUAUAAAAUAAUCUUAUCUGGUAAAGCGAAUGAUAGAGGCCUUAGGGUCGAAACGAUCUUAACCUAUUCUCAAACUUU